Molecule: ribosomal RNA, 250 nt
Filed under: Escherichia coli
Lineage: Bacteria; Pseudomonadati; Pseudomonadota; Gammaproteobacteria; Enterobacterales; Enterobacteriaceae
Description: partial 16S ribosomal RNA
Rfam family: Bacterial small subunit ribosomal RNA
Source: RNAcentral
GCAAGCGUUAAUCGGAAUUACUGGGCGUAAAGCGCACGCAGGCGGUUUGUUAAGUCAGAUGUGAAAUCCCCGGGCUCAACCUGGGAACUGCAUCUGAUACUGGCAAGCUUGAGUCUCGUAGAGGGGGGUAGAAUUCCAGGUGUAGCGGUGAAAUGCGUAGAGAUCUGGAGGAAUACCGGUGGCGAAGGCGGCCCCCUGGACGAAGACUGACGCUCAGGUGCGAAAGCGUGGGGAGCAAACAGGAUUAGAU